GAUGAACGCUGGCGGCGUGCUUAACACAUGCAAGUCGAACGGUGAAGCCAAGCUUGCUUGGUGGAUCAGUGGCGAACGGGUGAGUAACACGUGAGCAACCUGCCCUGGACUCUGGGAUAAGCGCUGGAAACGGCGUCUAAUACUGGAUAUGAGCUCUCAUCGCAUGGUGGGGUUGGAAAGAUUUAUCGCUCUGAGAUGGCCUCGCGUCUGAUUAGCUAGUUGGCGGGGUAACGGCCCACCAAGGCGACGAUCAGUAGCCGGACUGAGAGGUUGGCCGGCCACAUUGGGACUGAGACACGGCCCAG
Molecule: ribosomal RNA, 305 nt
Filed under: uncultured bacterium
Lineage: Bacteria
Description: bacterial SSU rRNA
Rfam family: Bacterial small subunit ribosomal RNA
Source: RNAcentral